This 200-nucleotide ribosomal RNA is filed under the name uncultured bacterium. RNAcentral describes it as "partial 16S ribosomal RNA". It matches the Rfam family "Bacterial small subunit ribosomal RNA", at positions 29 to 258 of the family's 1533-position model. The record is from RNAcentral.
AGCGAACGCUGGCGGCAGGCCUAACACACGCAAGUCGAACGCACCUUCGGGUGAGUGGCGGACGGGUGAGUAACACGUGGGAACGUACCUUUUGGUUCGGAAUAACGCAGGGAAACUUGUGCUAAUACCGAAUGUGCCCUUCGGGGGAAAGAUUUAUCGCCAUUAGAGCGGCCCGCGUUAGAUUAGCUAGAUGGUGAGGU